AUCAAACAACACUGAACACCUUUAUUAGCUGCUUCAGCAGUGCUUCAUUGGGGUUGGAGCUAAAAUCUACUGGACAGUAGCUCACCAGGAGCAGGGUUGGAGUCUCCUGGUAUAUAUUUAUACAUGUUUAAACAGUUGCGUUUAAAACUAACUGUGGAUGCACUUUUCUUUUUCCAGUGUUUUCUUCAACAGUGCAGUGGGAAUUCUUGUGGUGUCUACAUGCUGAUGUAUGCUCUCAGCAUCUGCACAUCAUGUCCUUUAACAUUUACAGAGGAGGAGGUGCCAUUGAUUCGGCAGUGAUGGUGCAUUCAGCUAAUGGAAAAGUUUUGUCUAGAAGGGUAUGAUAGGUUUUCUAAUAAUAAGGCAUGGACAGAGGUUUGCAUACUGGACCGAAGAAUCAUCCCAACUCCUUCAGGGAACACUUGAGCCUGUCUUCAGGGUUUCAAAAUCCACCACCACCAAACUGUUGCCCAGCAGAAGAGUUGUGGUUAAAAUGGACAUUUAUAAGCUUGUGUCUUCACAAGGUGCAGCAGCCAACCAUUCUGAGAGACCUGUAUACAAGCCUGGAACUGGGUACGCAGUCAAAGAGACUUAUUCCGUGGGGAGGUGACAGAGCCUGCUUUUCUGCAAAUGAGCAAUGAUGACCAACAAAAUGCCCUCAAAAGGGUCAUGUGUGAUGAAUUCCCUGAGGCAAAGGAUGACUUUGUUUAUUUUCAAUGUCAAGAGGACAUGGAAACAUUUUUGUCCUACUGCAUUGAUGAAAGGCUUGUCAAUGCCAUGUUCCGGGAUGGAUGGAGGGAGGGAACAAAUUAAUUUAUGAAUAAAUCAGUUUUUGUAAUCCAUUUUUCUUCAAUUCAGACACUUGUAAAAAUAUGCUGCAAUAAGAACAGUUAAGCAGAACAUAUCUUUAGAAAAUAUUAAAUGUAAACACACAUCUGUAUUUCCCAAAUUGUGUAACAUAUGUAAGCUAUAGUUUAAUUAUACUACAUUUUCUCAUACGAUUUAUAUUGUCACAUUAACCUUAAAUUUUUAUAUAUUAUUUUAGUGAUUGCUUAGGACAAUACCAUUUAAAAACAAGGUAGAGUAAGCAAACUUGCACACAAAACAGACAUUAAACGAGCAAUAUUAUUAAUUG
Tachysurus vachellii is the source of this 1135-nucleotide long non-coding RNA. RefSeq lists it as uncharacterized. The record is from RefSeq and is a predicted model, not a curated record. The transcript is spliced from 4 exons. Lineage: Eukaryota; Metazoa; Chordata; Actinopteri; Siluriformes; Bagridae.